Clupea harengus (Atlantic herring) is the source of this 1268-nucleotide long non-coding RNA. The record is from Ensembl. Lineage: Eukaryota; Metazoa; Chordata; Actinopteri; Clupeiformes; Clupeidae.
UGCCAGUCUGGGUUAGUUUCGCCACACCGAUCCCUCUGCUGGUGGUUUGGGGAAUCUACUGCAGGUUUGGGCCAAGCUAAGGCCCAGUGUUUGCCAAAAAAAACUGUGAUGUAUAGCAUGAAUGUCUGUGGUGAAUCCUUAUGACUUCAGACAAAGGCAAAAAAAAUACAGGUCAGACUAGAAUGGUAACAUGUUGCAGUAGGUCAACAGAAUGGCUUUGGUUUAGUUUCAAAUCAUGGACACUGUUCUGUUCAUUCAUGCCAACUCUCAUGCUCUUUCUUUCUCUCUCUCUCUCUCCAUUCAAAAACUCAUUCCAACGUGCGGUGUCUUUUGUACUGAUUAUACCUCGGCUCUAUCUUGACCAUAUAAACAAGGACAUUUCUCAUACAAUAUCUAUCUUGAACUCUCAUACACUCACAUACACACUUAGCGGUGACACCUGUGUUUUGGGUCAUGUGUGAUGGAGGUGUGUGUAGCUGAUGUCCCAGUUUUAGAGGAGCGGUGAGAUGGUAGUUCGGCCAUGAUGGUAGUGCGGGCUGACGGGAUAGCAGAAAGGGGGUCAGCCUGUUUUAUUUAUGGUGGAUAGACACAUGCAGAGAGUGGGUGUGUUGCAGGUGUGUGAGAUGAAUGUACAAGUGUAUGGCAGAGCACCAAGUGAGGAAGGAAAGGCGGAAGGUUUUUUUUCCCUUUUUUUUUAAAUGCAAUAUAGUUCAGAAAACAGUUUUCGAUACAAACUUGACAUUAUGCAGACAAACCCGAAAACCACAGAACUGAAUUAGAUGAGGGGGGGGAAAUGUAGCUUCCUUUUUUUGAGUGUUAGACAGAUAAGGUAAGCUGUCUCGUGGGGAUUGUAUUUUGCUCAUCCAGUGGCACGUCUUUAAAGCCUCCAUUAGCCUUCUGAUCCACCAACCUCAUAUUGUUUUAUUUUUUUAACAGGAGGGUUGCUUCCUCCUUCUGUGACUUCAACUAAUUUUGAGUUGUUAAUACCACUACUAUGAUUAAUUAUUAUAAAACUCUUAUGAUGAUGACGAUGAUUAUUAUUAUUAUUAUUGCUACUGUUAUUACUACUACUGUUACUACUGCUACUUAUUACUACAAACUAUUACUGCUGUCCAUUUUCAGGUACUUGUCUGUAAUACCAGACCUUUCCACCAGAGGUCAGUGUGCUGUGGAGCAUUUUCAUUACGGAAUCAAAACAGAAAAUGUUUGUUGACUUGUGUAUCUACAUCUAAUAUUAGGAAUAAUAAAACAUUGUUUAAAAAGAAAAA